UUGUACUUUUUAAAAAUAUCGACAAGCGUGUGUCGAUAGGGGUGGACAGUUUGUAUUUCGGUUCGAUUUUAAUUUUUUGGAUUUUUGGUUCUUGUAAAAUGUGUACCGAAUAUCGAACUAAAAUAUUUUGGUUCAAUUCAGUUUUUAUUAUUUUGAUUCGGUUUUUAGUAAUUCGAUUCGGCUUUUUUAUUUUGGUUUUUUAAUGAGCCUACUUAGUGGUCUUUUUAAAUUUUUAAACUUAACAAGUUUUUUGUUUGAUUUUUCAACUUAAUGGGCUAAAAAUAGACAAUAGUUACAUCAAAGAAGUGCAUUGUAAUUACAUCAAAGAAGUGCAUUACUACCAAAUAUAAAUAUAUCAAUAUGACAUUAGGCAUUAACACCACAAAUUUUAAAUUCAUAAUGUCACUAAAACACACAAUUUUUAAUUAACAAUAUCACUAAAACAAAAGUGCAUUGUAGUUAAUGUCUUCACAAAUACCACAUAAUAACAAUCUAACAAGUAACAAUACAGUCUUCCAUGAGAGUUGAGACCACUUUCAAGUUUCAACUUUCGAGAAUUCUAGUGCCAACAUAAUAAACAAUAAUGAGCAACAAACAAUGUAUUUUAAACUUCUUGUUUUCUUCCAUAAGAUCACGUUCAAUUCAAAUGUAAACAAUAACAAACAAAAAUAGUGAGUUUUCUUGACCUUCUUCCAUGAGACCGCUUUCAACUUUCAAGUGUCACAUGCCAACAAAAUUACUAAUAAAACUUAGUACUGUACGUCUUCUUCAUUGUCUUGACUCUUGGACCUUUUAAGAUAAAAUCAAAUGUUAUAAUACUACUUUUAAGAUUAAAAAAUGAUAUGAUUAAAUAAAUGAUGUAUUGAACUCACCCCUUGCAAGUCAAUCAUAUAUCAACAGUGGAAGAGUUUCUUCCACUAUUUUCCAUCUCUAUAAAUAAGAAAAACAAACAUGUCAUACAAGAUACAACACAAAAAGUAUUUUAUUUUUUCCAAAAAUAAAUAAAAAUUAAAAAAUCUUAUCAAGUUCAAUUUUUUCAAGAAACUCCAAACUUUCUUCAACACAAAUAGACUUAGUUUCUUAUCUAAAUCAAUCUUGGACACAAAUAAGACAUUGCACACAUUUGGGAGUCAAUAAACUUCUAAAGGGAUCUAGAAUACGAUCACCGGUGCUAAAUGCACAUUCCCAUGACACACUCGACAUAGGAAUAGCCCAUACAUCUCGAGCCAACUGUGAAAUUAUAGGAAAUCUAGGAGAAUUAACUUUUCACCAACUCAAACUAUCAAAAUCUCCAGAUUCAGGCUCUUGGUCUUCAAGAAGAUAUUUAUCCAACUCAGAUUUAACACCUAAACUUCCAGAAUCUUGCUUUUGUUUCUUCAAGAGCAACUUAGUUCUAAAAGAAUUUUUGGACACAUUUUGAGAAAUACCACAAGCAAAAGAAUCAGAUGAGUCAGAUGAAGAUGGUUGGUUUUUAGAAUAUUUUUCAUACUUACUUAUAUAUAUCACAAACAAAUCCCUCAAGUAAGCCUCUACUUUCGUAUUCACUACAUUUUUUGUUUCUUCCCCAAGUAAAUUUUCAAGAGCAAAACUAACAUACACAAAUUUAUUGCGAGGAUCCAAAACAGAAGCAAUAAAAAUCAUUUUGUUCAUUUUUUUCAAGAUUACCCCAAUAUUUCUUGAUUUUUUCAUUCAUUCCUGAAGCCAUUUUACUCAAAUCAAGGUCAUCACUUGCUAUACAUAAUUUCAAAUAAGCAUCAAGUUCACAUAUAUGCUCAAAAUGAACAUUGCAAGUAACAGAAGCAAUAAAAAAUUUCAAGAGCAAAACUAACAUACACAAAUUUAUUGCGAGGAUCCAAAACAGAAGCAAUAAAAAUCAUUUUGUUCAUUUUUUCAAGAGUACCCCAAUAUUUCUUGAUUUUUUCUUUCAUUCCUGAAGCCAUUUUACUCAAAUCAAGGUCAUCACUUGAUAUACAUAAUUUCAAAUAAGCAUCAAGUUCACAUAUAUCCUCAAAAUGAACAUUGCAAGUAACAUACCGUGAACCUGAAACAUUCAAAGUGAGCUCAUAAAAUUUUUCAAGAAACUUUGUAACAUUCCUCAUAUUAUUCCAAUCUUCAUAUUGAAUUGAACAUGCUAUAGUUCCACCUGCACAAACAUCAGUAGCAAGAAAAGAAUUAAAAUUACCAUCAUAAAGAUCAAACCUCUCAAAAGCCUUCUCAAACUUUUCUGCUGUGUCAAACAUCAAAUAGGUGGAAUUCCACCUAGUAGGAACAUCUAAAGACAACAUCUUAUCACAUUCUAUAUUUUGCAUUUCAACACUUUUCAAGAAGUUUCUUGUCCUUGAAGAAGAUGAUCUAACAUAUUUCACCAUUUGUCUCACCAGUUUGAUAGAAGUACCAAUUUCUUUCAAAUCAUAUUGCACAAUUAAAUUAAGUAUAUGAGUCAUACAUAUCACAUGGAGAUUAUUACCUUCCAUCAUAUUAGUUUCCCACAUAUCUAAUUUUUUGGACAACUCCAAAACUGCCACAUUAUAAGAAGAGGCAUUAUCAACCGUAACAAUAAAAACAUUAUCCAACUUCCAAUCAAGUAAACAAUUAUUAAUAGACUCAGUCAAAUACUCACCUUUAUGACUAUCUAUAGGACAAAAAUUUAAUAUUCUUUUAUGAAGCACCAAAUCCCUAUCAAUAAAGUGAGCAGUCAAACACAUAUAAUUGAUUCUUUGCAUUGAAGUCCAUGUGUCUAUUGUGAGACAAAUUCUUAGUUGUACUUCUCUUAAAGAUUGUUUCAAAUUUAUUUUCAAUUCACCAAAAACUUCAUAACAAUCCCUUGUUAUGGUUCUACGAGAAGGAAUAUGAAACAAAGGUUGACUCAUAAGCUUCUUAAAGCCUUCUUUUUCAACAAAACUAUAAGGUAGUUCAUCCAAAAUUAUCAUUUCAACUAAAUCUCUCCUACAUACGUCUUGCUCAAAUUUCCAAGUGUUUAAACUUUUAGUUUGAAUAUUUAAUAAUUCUUUAAUACCAGAUGCAACAGUCGGGGGCUUAUACACUUUACACCAAUAAGUCAAAUGUAGUUUUAGUCCAGUUGUUCCAUUUCUACUUGUAUUGGCAGCAUAGUAUUGUUUACAAUGUAAACACUUUGCUUUAACUAAUACACCAAUUUCAAAAAUCUUUUCAAAGUGUUGCCAAACAGGAGAUCUAGGAUCCAUUUCUUUUUUUUUUUGUUAUUUCUGUUCCAAUUGACGGGUCAUUGCUAUUAAUAGGGGUAUUAUUCGUAGAUUCAGCCAUACUUAUUUGACUUUGAUCAGCUACACCCAUAUUUAAUUGAUUUUGUUCAGCCAUCUAUAUUAAAAACAAUUAUUUCACAACAAAUUCACACUAAGCAAAUAUCAGAAAGAAAAAAUGAAAGAACAAUAAAGAAAAACAAACCUGAUUAGUGGUCAGCUGGUCGCCGGUCGCUGGUCGCCGGUCGCUGGUCGCCGGUUGCUGGCCGUCUGAAGACUCUGAACUCGCUGACGGCUAGCCUCUGAGUUCACUGCCCGUCUUAACUCGCUGCCCGCUUCUUGAAAGAAUGAAGAAUGAAUAAAAUUGAAAGGAACUUGGAAGUAUGGAACAUGGAAGAAUGAAUUGAGGAAGAUGAAUUAUUCUCACUUUUCAUAUUAGGGUUUCUAUUUUCUAUAAAGUAGUAUAAAG
This 3687-nucleotide long non-coding RNA is filed under the name Solanum lycopersicum (tomato). Its description in RNAcentral is "long non-coding RNA (SLYC_LNC000945)". The record is from RNAcentral. Lineage: Eukaryota; Viridiplantae; Streptophyta; Magnoliopsida; Solanales; Solanaceae.